RNAcentral lists this long non-coding RNA (3508 nucleotides) under Sus scrofa (pig). Its description in RNAcentral is "lncRNA (ENSSSCG00015010027.1)". The record is from RNAcentral. Lineage: Eukaryota; Metazoa; Chordata; Mammalia; Artiodactyla; Suidae.
UGUUUUUGUUUUUUUGGUUUUUUGUUUUUUUUUCAUUGGUGAGUGUUUCUUGCAGUUGUGUCAGUUGGGUAACUGAAUAACCACAUUCUGAAUGUUUUUCAUCACUUAGUUAUGCAGAUAUAGUUAUCAGCUUAAAAAUCCUUUAAACAGGUCCCCCAGACUGUUUAAUCCAGGUACUUUUUGCUUUGCCCAUUCUCUGGUUCCCCUGACACUCUGCAAGACCAGUUGAUUGUGUGUAAUUAAGAAGAGAUGCUUGUUUAAUUGAGGGAUAUUUUUGCACAUCUUAAAAACAGUAAAUAUUAGCAUUUGUAAUUUGAAAGAAUUAGAAGUGUGUGGAGAAAAAAUAUUUUGCUCCAAACCACACAAAUACAGGCAUAUUAGGCAGAACAUACAUAUGUAUUUUUGUGUUAGUCACCUCUUAUAUUAGCAGGAGAGUAAUAAUUGAAAGGUAGAUAAAAAUUACAAGCAAUAACUCUAAUAUUUAUGAAAGGAUAAAUGUUACUUAGGCAUUAAAUUUUCUUCCUGGAAAAUUGAGUAACACAAUUUAAGAUGUAGUUGAAAAUACAAUUUAAUUAUUCUGUUGAUUAAUUUGGUAAUAUGAAUAGAAGAACUCAAGUAUUUGAUCAUAUGGUUCCUAAUAAGCUGUGAUACAUAUGUGUGAUUAUACACUAUUUCAUUACAGCUUUUUGAUUCCUCCUUAAAUGUAAUACUCCCUGAAAAAAGUAAUAUUUGAAUUUUUUUUUUGGCCUCACUUUAACCUCACAGAUGGCUAUGUUUUAAUUUUGCAAAGAGGUAGUGUGUCUUAAGUAAUUUUUAAAGAAUUUCCUCUAUUUUGUACUAUCUGGUGGUACUAGAAAUUUGGAAUUUUUGAAUCUUCGCUGUGUACCAGAAUCACAUAGAUUUCUAGCUGAAGUUCCUAGAGAAAAGCUUAUAUAAGGAAAUUAUAGCCAUUUAUAUAAAAUUAGAAGUUAAUGGGUAAAAAUAUCUCAAAAUGAAUUAUUUUAACUUUCUUAUAAGAAUUAGAUAUAAAUAGCUUAGUAUUUUCUCAAAGUCUGAAGUGUUACUACUUACGAUAUAUACUCAUACACAGACCUUGUUUAGUAUUCUUACUAGCUUCUUACGUCUGCUCUAUAGCAUAGGUAUCCAUUUUCCUGACCAUAAGAGUGAUUGUAUUUGAAAAAUACUCCUAGAAUGAUAAUGUCACUGAUAAGGUUUAUCUAUUCUAAAAUCAAAAAUUAAAUAUCACUAUGUAUUUCAUUUGAAAUAACUGUCUAUGCUUGACAAAGAAUAUAUAUCUUCUGGGUUUUCUACCACAUAUAAUUUUGCAAUGAAUAUUUUUACGUAGGAAUAAAUGUAAGAAUACAGUUUUCUGUUUGGCUAUGGUAAUUUGUCAUAUGACCAUUUGUAAAAGUCUAAUUUAAAGAAAUCAGUGAUACAAAAUUUUGGAAAACUUAUUUUUUAACUCAUUAUUUUACAUAUUAGGCAACUAUCAGACUGUCUUGAAUGCAUUGUACUCUUUGCCUUUUUGAGAUUUGUGAUCUUCUAACCUCAUGUGAAAGAUCUCUAGCUACCCUUUCCAAAUAUUGUACUUGUGUUUUAUACAUACAGGAAUAAAGUUUAGUGAUUGUGGCCUAGUUAUAAAAGUACAAAGCUCAUUUGGGAGCUUAAAACUUGGAUUUUACUGUAUUAUAUGUUUGAUAUGUAAUAUUUCUUCAAUGUGAUGAGUUAAAAAUUAUAAUUUUUUCACAGGUACAGGAGAAAAUAUUCCUCUUUGUAUUCUCAAAAGUACUGUUUUCUAAAUUUUGGUCUUCUUUUUUCCCAGACGGUGGGUUCGGCUGCUGUUUGGACGAGAGUUCCCCCUGCAGGACCUUCUGGUGGUCUGGGAUGCCUUGUUCGCAGAUGGCCUCAGCCUGAGUUUAGUUGAUUAUAUCUUCAUAGCCAUGUUGCUCUACAUCCGAGAUGCUCGUAAGUGCUUGAUGACCUUGCCAGCAUUCGCGUAGGUGGUCCUGAUUUUUAAAACUGUCUUAUCUUUUAAAUCUACUUUCCCUUUUAUUUUGAAUUACCAUACCUACAUUUUAAUAAUAGUCCCUAUAUCAAACUUUCAAAGGAACAUCCUAAAUAUACUUUUUGUUAGUUAUCCAUGUACAUAUUGCAAGAUGUGGGUGAUUUUAUCCUGAGAGAAUUGGAAUAUUCUUCAGAACAAUUCUUCUAACGAUUUUACGCUUGCUUUAAUCUCAUUACGCACAUUUGCGAAACAUAUAUAUGAAAAGCCAGUAUUUCAGAUAUGUUUAGAGCUCCACCUUCUGACAGGUAGGGAGUAUUCACGAAUAUUUCUUAAGAGAUUGGAGCUGUUUUUACAGUAUUGACAACUUGCCUAUAAAAAAUAAAUAUUACAUUUAAAGAUAUUUUAACUUCUCGGUUAUAUUUUGGCCGAAUGCAUUUCUCAGCGGAGUGCCAAAUGGUAGCUGUGUUCCCAUCCACUCAAAUCUACCUUACGGUGUUACCGAGUGGGAAAGUCAGUGCCUUUCCCUUUUUCGAGUAAUCUGAUAAUCCUCAGCUUAAAGAAGACAGCAGAGUAUGUUUUAAAUUUCAAGAUGCCUCAAAUUGUUUUCCUUUUCAGAAAAAUAAUCACAGUUCACAAAACAAGAUUUGCAAGCCAAAAAUACAAUUAGAAAAGAUUGUGCAAAGUGAUGAUGAAGUAGAAAGAAGGAACUAGCAUAAGAGUAGGACUUCAUCAGAAGCACAUAAACUAUUUGGAGUCAUCCAUAAUCUUGACGGUUGAAUUGCUCUGUGGUUCUCUUUAUUUGUUCAUUGAAUCCCACUUGUGCCAGAUGCUCUUGCAAUGCCUCUGGUGACGCUAAUAAUAUUCUUUAAAUUUUAGAUUAUACUUUUUUUAAUUCUCCCCAAAUUGCUUCAGUGAAUAAGUGACAGGAGCACAUAUUAAUCCAAAACUUGUGGUUUUUGUCUGUGCCUUGAAGGUCAGAUAGUUUGGGUUUUGACAUACAGAGUGAAAAGUUCCUUCUUUCUGAGCCAGAGCUCAUCAAAUAAGAACAUGGAAACCAUAAGAGGAAACAUCUGGAAAGCAGAGAAGGAUGUUUGGGUAGAUUUGAGGGAUACUAGAUUUUAUAAUUAUUCAGUACUAAUCUCCCAUUGUAAAGUAGUAUUAUUUUUAUAAAAUGUAAGUAACAAAAAACAAAAGGAAUGAGAAACCUCUUCAUUAAAAAAAUGCUUUUGGAUACUAUUUUUAAAAAAUUUGGAGUUCCCUUCGUGACUCACUGGUUAACGAACCCAACUAGCAUCCAUGAAGACACGGGUUUGAUCCUUGGCCUGACUCAGUGGGUUAAGGAUCUGGCGUUGCCAUGAGCUGUGAUGUAGGUCUCAGACAUGGCUCAGGUCCCUCAUUGCUGUAGUUCUGGCACAGGCCAGUGGCUAAAGCUCCAAGUGGACCCCUAGCCUGGGAACCUCCAUAUGCCACAGAUGUAGCCCUAAAAAAAAGACAAAAAAAAAA